AGGGCUCCGGGCGGCCGUGACCCUGCUGGAGUCCGGGGGGGACCUCCAGCCCCCCGGGGGGUCCCUGCGCCUCCUCUGCCGAGGCUCCGGGUUCAAUUUCGGCAGUUUUGGGAUGGCCUGGAUCCGCCAGCGACCCAGGAAGGCGAUGGAAAACAUCGCGGAAAUCAGCAGCAGUGGCAGCACCUGGUACGCAGAUUUCGUCAAGGGCCAGUUCACGAUCUCCAGGGACAACGGGCAGAGCUCGGUGACGCUGACCAUGAACAACCUCAAGGACGAGGAUUCCGGAUCCUAUUUCUGUGCCAAACGUGUUGAUGGUUAUGCUGGCACGGCUGUUGCUGCUAUUUUUCGCAACAAUUCUGGCCCCACCUCCAUG
This is a non-coding RNA of Passer montanus (Eurasian tree sparrow), 373 nucleotides long. NCBI's taxonomy places the organism in Eukaryota, Metazoa, Chordata, Aves, Passeriformes, Passeridae. The record is from the annotation of a RefSeq genome assembly.